RNAcentral lists this unclassified non-coding RNA (409 nucleotides) under Hevea brasiliensis (rubber tree). The record is from RNAcentral. Lineage: Eukaryota; Viridiplantae; Streptophyta; Magnoliopsida; Malpighiales; Euphorbiaceae.
CUUCUCACCCUCCAUAACAGGGCAUCCACCGUGGAGGCUCAUAGGAUCAGGUACAGCAUUUGGAUGGAGACUGAAAAAAAGAAGUGCAUCUCCUUUUCGUGGUUUAACAGCAAUACCCCUCUUUGCACACUCGGACAAACUGUCGUCAGCUGCCAUUGACCUACGCCGAGUUGAUACCUCUGCUUCGGGGAAAACAGUUUCACCACCUUUCUCUACAUCACUGAGAUACAUGAGUACAGUGGCUAAACGGUGUCCACCACGAACAAUAUUAACCUUGUCGGUGAAGUAAUCAUAGUGUGGCUCAUAUCUCUGUCCUUCCUCAUAUCUUAGAACUUGUAUGUCUUCUCCAUUCUCUUUAGGUAGAAAAGUCCAAGUCGCUAUCUUCUCCUCUAUCCCUGUGACAAUAGGA